RNAcentral lists this small RNA (72 nucleotides) under Prunus dulcis (almond). RNAcentral describes it as "sRNA ncRNA". Lineage: Eukaryota; Viridiplantae; Streptophyta; Magnoliopsida; Rosales; Rosaceae. The record is from RNAcentral.
GCCGAGCCUAGUAACGUGGGCUUGUAACCCAGUGUGGGGGCAUUAAAGGUGGAAUGUGGAAAGUUCUUGUUA